UAUUGGACAAUGGGGGCAACCCUGAUCCAGCAAUGCCGCGUGUGUGAAGAAGGCCUUCGGGUUGUAAAGCACUUUCGAUGGGGAAGAAAAGCUCGGUGUUAAUACCGCCGAGUCUUGACGUUACCCAGAGAAGAAGCACCGGCUAACUCUGUGCCAGCAGCCGCGGUAAUACAGCGGGUGCAAGCGUUAAUCGGAAUUACUGGGCGUAAAGCGCACGUAGGUGGUUUGGUAAGUUGGAUGUGAAAUCCCCGGGCUCAACCUGGGAACUGCAUUCAAUACUGCCUGGCUAGAGUAUGGUAGAGGGAAGCGGAAUUCCACAUGUAGCGGUGAAAUGCGUAGAUAUGUGGAGGAACAUCAAUGGCGAAGGCAGCUUCCUGGACUAAUACUGACACUGAGUGCGAAA
Molecule: ribosomal RNA, 403 nt
Filed under: uncultured bacterium
Lineage: Bacteria
Description: bacterial SSU rRNA
Rfam family: Bacterial small subunit ribosomal RNA
Source: RNAcentral